AUCUUGGAAGUGAUGUCCGUCCCACCCUGACAGUGCUGCCCCCCUCCAGUGAGGAGCUGCUGCAGGGGAAGGCCACGCUCAUGUGCCUGGCCAACAAGGGCUUCCCGUCAGACUGGAGUCUGGCCUGGAAGGUGGACGGCAGCAGCAGCAGCAGCAGCAGCUGGGAGGAGAGCAGGAGCCCUGGGGUGCUGCAGAAGGAUGGCCACUACAGCUGGAGCAGCACCCUGAGGCUCCCUGCAGACCAGUGGAGGAAGGUGGGCUCUGUGACCUGUGAGGUCACCCAGGGCUCCCAGACUCCAGUCUCAGAGACACUGAGGAGGGACCAGUGUUCCCAGUCCUGACCUGACUCACUGGGACUCUGCUACUGGUUUCACUCUGAUAAUGCUCUCAGUCUGCACUCUCUCUCUCUUAGACUUAAAAGAUUUAAAUAGUGAUAUUUUCUUGCUCAUAAUGACGCC
This is a non-coding RNA of Sander lucioperca (pikeperch), 458 nucleotides long. The record is from the annotation of a RefSeq genome assembly. NCBI's taxonomy places the organism in Eukaryota, Metazoa, Chordata, Actinopteri, Perciformes, Percidae.